This 404-nucleotide long non-coding RNA is filed under the name Sorghum bicolor (sorghum). Its description in RNAcentral is "long non-coding RNA (SBIC_LNC015936)". Lineage: Eukaryota; Viridiplantae; Streptophyta; Magnoliopsida; Poales; Poaceae. The record is from RNAcentral.
GACCCUUAGGAGCUUUUCAUGUGGUUAAAUUAAGAUAUUCACUUGCACACAUCCACUACACCAUUCACCACCAUACAUUAAAAUUGCUAAAAAUAUUAUCACUCACUGUCCCAAGUAUUGUUAUCCUCUCUCUAAAAAGAUUCAAUGCGGAAGAGGCAUGAGUUAUGCAAAAAUAUGCGAGGAAAUAAAAAGGGGCAAGUGCCUGGAACCUCGAGAAAAGAAAGAAAAAGAGUGAGACAAGAGGUAAAAAUGGACAAGUGUCCAGAGUAGAAUUAGGGGUACAAAGCUGCCCACUUGAGCGAAAAAAAUGGACAAGUGUCCGACAGUAGAAUUAGGGGUGUCCACUACCCACCUGAAAGAAAAGAAAAGAAAAGAAAUAGAUAGCCCAUGUUCUCCGAAAGCAA